GCUUGUCUCAAAGAUUAAGCCAUGCAUGUCUAAGUAUAAAUGGUAUACAGUGAAACUGCGAAUGGCUCAUUAAAACAGUUAUAGUUUAUUUGGUAUUCGAAUUUACAUGGAUAACCGUGGUAAUUCUAGAGCUAAUACAUGCGUAAAGUCCCGACUCUUUCUGGGGAGGGAUGUAUUUAUUAGAUAAAAAACCAAUGCGGGUUCUGCCCGGUUUUGUGUUGAAUCAUAGUAACUUUUCGAAUCGCAUGGCUUCACGCCGGCGAUAGUUCAUUCAAAUUUCUGCCCUAUCAGCUUUCGACGGUAGUGUAGUGGACUACCGUGGCGUUAACGGGUAACGGAGAAUUAGGGUUCGAUUCCGGAGAGGGAGCCUGAGAAACGGCUACCACAUCUAAGGAAGGCAGCAGG
RNAcentral lists this ribosomal RNA (405 nucleotides) under uncultured Cryomonadida. RNAcentral's name for it is "partial small subunit ribosomal RNA". It matches the Rfam family "Eukaryotic small subunit ribosomal RNA", at positions 30 to 432 of the family's 1831-position model. Lineage: Eukaryota; Cercozoa; Thecofilosea. The record is from RNAcentral.